Molecule: ribosomal RNA, 433 nt
Filed under: uncultured bacterium
Lineage: Bacteria
Description: partial 16S ribosomal RNA
Rfam family: Bacterial small subunit ribosomal RNA
Source: RNAcentral
AACGAACGCUGGCGGCAUGCCUAACACAUGCAAGUCGAACGAGACCUCCGUGCUUAUUUGCGCAGGGGGACGUAACGCGGGGUAAUCUACCCGUAGGUUAGGAAUCAUUCGCCGAAGGGUGUGCUAAUGAAGGUAGAUGUCGUAGCAGCAAAGAUUUACCGCCUUUGGAUGGGCCCGCGUUGGAUUAGAUAGUUGGUAGUGUAAAAGCCUAGCAAGGCCUGGCUGCAGAGCUGGUCUGGGAGGAUGACCAGGCACAAUUGGACUGGGACACGGCCCAGACUCCUACGGGAGGGAGGAGUGGGGAAUAUUGGACAAUGGGGGGAAGCCUGAUACCGCCGUGGCGGGUGAGUGAUGAAGGCCGUAGGGUUGUAAAUCUCUUUUACACGGGAUGAUAAUGACAGUACCGGGAGAAUAAGCACCGGCUAACUACGUG